AGUUGAUCCUGCUGGAGACUACUGCUAUUGGGGUUUGAUUAAGCCAUGCAUGUCCAAGGAGUGCUUGCACUCCUGGCGAACAGCUCAGUAACACGUGGACAAUCUGCCCUCGAGACGGGGAUAACCUCGGGAAACUGAGGAUAAUACCCGAUAGGUGCCAAGUACUGGAAUGUCUGGCACCCAAAUGAAUUUCGCUCGAGGAUGAGUCUGCGGCGGAUUAGGUUGACGGUAGGGUAAUGGCCUACCGUGCCCGCGAUCCGUACCGGCCUUGAGAGAGGGAGCCGGGAGAUGGAUACUGAGACAAAGAUCCAGGUUCUACGGAAUGCAGCAGGCGCGAAAUCUUCGCAAUGCGCGAAAGCGUGACGAGGGAACCCCAAGUGAAUACCGACUAGGUAUUCUUUUCCCAAGUGUAAAAAGCUCGGGGAAUAAGGGCUGGGUAAGACCGGUGCCAGCCUCCGCGGUAACACCGGCAGCUCGAGUGGUAGUCGUUUUUACUGGGCUUAAAGCGUUCGUAGUCUGCUUAGUCAGUCUUCUGUGAAAUCCACAGGCUUAACCUGUGGGCUUGCAGGAGAAACUGCUAGGCUCGGAGCCGGGAAGGGUCAGAGGUAUUCCCUAGGUAGCGGUGAAAUGCUAUAAUCUUGGGAAGACCACCGGUGGCGAAAGCGUCUGACUGGAACGGGCUCGACGAUGAGGGACGAAAGCUAGGGGAGCGAAUCGGAUUAGAUACCCGAGUAGUCCUAGCCGUAAACGAUGCGGACUAAGUGUUGCGGAAACCUCGUGUUCCCGCAGUGCUGCAGGGAAACUGUUAAGUCCGCCGCCUGGGGAGUACGGUCGCAAGGCUGAAACUUAAAGGAAUUGGCGGGGGAGCACCACAAGGCGUGGAGUCUGCGGUUUAAUUGGAUAAAACGCCGGGAAACUCACCAGGGGCGACGGCAGUAUGAAGGUCAGGCUGAUGGUCUUACCUGACGAGCCGAGAGGUAGUGCAUGGCCGUCGUCAGCUCGUACUGUGAAGCGUGCGGUUAAGUCCGUUAACGAGCAAGACCCGUGCCUCUAUUUGCGAUUCUUCUCCUUCGGGAGGGGGAGCACUAUAGAGGGACCGCUGGCGAUGAGUCAGAGGAAGGCGCGGGCUACGGUAGGUCUGUAUGCUCCGAAUCUCCUGGGCUACACGUGGACUACAAUGGCGUAAACAACGGGUUGCGACACCGAAAGGCGCAAGCUAAUCCCUUAAAUUACGUCUAAGUUCGGAUCGAGGGUUGUAACCCACCCUCGUGAAGCUGAAAUGCCUAGUAAUCGCUGUUUACCAUACAGCGGUGAAUAUGUCCCCGCUCCUUGCACACACCGCCCGUCAAACCAACCGAGUGGAUUUAGGAUGAGGCGUUUCCAUUGAGGAUGCGUCGAAUCCCAUUUCCGCAAGGGGGGUUAAGUCGUAACAAGGUA
This 1437-nucleotide ribosomal RNA is filed under the name metagenome. RNAcentral describes it as "bacterial SSU rRNA". It matches the Rfam family "Archaeal small subunit ribosomal RNA". The record is from RNAcentral.